This is a long non-coding RNA of Triticum dicoccoides, 732 nucleotides long. RefSeq lists it as uncharacterized. The record is from RefSeq and is a predicted model, not a curated record. The transcript is spliced from 3 exons. NCBI's taxonomy places the organism in Eukaryota, Viridiplantae, Streptophyta, Magnoliopsida, Poales, Poaceae.
UCUCCGUGGGUUGUAGGCUUGUAGCCUUGAAGUUCCGAAUUCAUAACCAUUUCAUAUCUGGCUGUGAAUAGUUACAACUAUUUGCGGACCCAUUACUCGGGCAUGGCCGCCGCCGUCGCUCGCAUCGUCACACCAACUACAAGCACUGGAUAUGGAUAUGUUGAUAAGGUUGCAGAACGCGUGACUGUACAAGUAGGUGUCGUUAACCUUCUAUUGGAGAAACAUGGAGGAACUGGCUUGCAAGGCCAUGCAACAUGGUAAACCACAAUGAUGAUAUUAGCUCAAAAUAAUUCUGCUGGGAGAUCAAAGGAAUGAGACUUUCGAGUAGGGAUACUGAGUUCUCUUUGCGACGCCAAUGUAUGUUAAAUCUGAAGUACAGCUAGUACAUAUGAACUUGUCCUACUGUGUUGAGCAAUGUAUCUUCUCCACGAGCUUUCAUAGUCAGCAGAUUUAAUGAUUCAAUUGAAUAAGCUAGAUAUGUCUACUGACAAAAAUAAAGAUAUGUGCUACUGUUCGCCAAGAAUGAAGACGGUGUUCCUGAUCUUGUUGUGGAGAAUCCUGUAAUGCCCGGCUAAGGUAGAUUAGGAAAGGGGGUCAGGAUGAGGAAGAAGAGGGUAGGUGAGAGGAGACAGCAGAGGGGAGAGGUUCAAUUCACUUUCUUAUUAAAAUGAGCCCUCACAGCGGCAACGACUGGCUUAAGUAGUUUACACACACACGCACCCCACACGGGCU